Molecule: long non-coding RNA, 387 nt
Filed under: Dromaius novaehollandiae (emu)
Lineage: Eukaryota; Metazoa; Chordata; Aves; Casuariiformes; Dromaiidae
Description: lncRNA (ENSDNVG00000008734.1)
Source: RNAcentral
AUACAUGUGAGGAAUAAAAUUGAAAAGGCUCAGGCUUCCAGAGGGUUUCAGAACUUCCUAAGGACAGCUCAGGAUCAAGCAGACUGCAACUGGCAAAGAAUACCCUCUAAAAAUGUGUAUUACUACCGCUGCCCGGCCCACAGGAAGAACUAUGUCAUGUCAUUUGCCUUUUGCUUUGACCGUGAGGAUGACGUUUAUCAAUUUGCCUACUGCUACCCCUACACCUAUACUCGCCUUCAGCACUAUCUUGACAGCCUACAAAGGAGGAAUAUGGAUUACUUUUGCAGAGAAUUGCUCGGACUUAGUGUGCAGAAACGGCAGCUUGACCUCCUGACAAUAACCAGCCCCGGUAAGUGAGCUCCGCCGCACGGCUCUCUUCUCUUUUCU